CGGGAACCGUGAGACAGGUGCUGCAUGGCUGUCGUCAGCUCGUGUUGUGAAAUGUUGGGUUAAGUCCCGCAACGAGCGCAACCCUUAUCCUUUGUUGCCAGCGGUCCGGCCGGGAACUCAAAGGAGACUGCCAGUGAUAAACUGGAGGAAGGUGGGGAUGACGUCAAGUCAUCAUGGCCCUUACGACCAGGGCUACACACGUGCUACAAUGGCGCAUACAAAGAGAAGCGACCUCGCGAGAGCAAGCGGACCUCAUAAAGUGCGUCGUAGUCCGGAUUGGAGUCUGCAACUCGACUCCAUGAAGUCGGAAUCGCUAGUAAUCGUGGAUCAGAAUGCCACGGUGAAUACGUUCCCGGGCCUUGUACACACCGCCCGUCACACCAUGGGAGU
Molecule: ribosomal RNA, 390 nt
Filed under: Escherichia coli
Lineage: Bacteria; Pseudomonadati; Pseudomonadota; Gammaproteobacteria; Enterobacterales; Enterobacteriaceae
Description: bacterial SSU rRNA
Rfam family: Bacterial small subunit ribosomal RNA
Source: RNAcentral